RNAcentral lists this ribosomal RNA (274 nucleotides) under uncultured bacterium. RNAcentral describes it as "partial 16S ribosomal RNA". It matches the Rfam family "Bacterial small subunit ribosomal RNA", at positions 523 to 796 of the family's 1533-position model. The record is from RNAcentral.
CUACGGAGGAAGCAAGCGUUAUUCGGAAUCACUGGGCGUAAAGGACGCGUAGGCGGGUUUGUAAGUCAGGUGUGAAAUCCUACAGCUCAACUGUAGAACUGCACUUGAAACUACAGACCUAGAGUAUGGAAGGGGCAGAUGGAAUUAGUGGUGUAGGGGUAAAAUCCGUAGAUAUCACUAGGAAUACCGAAAGCGAAGGCGAUCUGCUGGGACAUUACUGACGCUGAGGCGCGAAAGCGUGGGGAGCAAACGGGAUUAGAAACCCUAGUAGUCC